UACGUAGGGGGCGAGCGUUGUCCGGAUUUAUUGGGCGUAAAGAGCGUGUAGGCGGCCAGGUAGGUCUGCUGUGAAAACUCGAGGCUCAACCUCGAGAUGUCGGCGGAAACCAUCUGGCUAGAGUCCGGAAGAGGAAAGUGGAAUUCCUGGUGUAGCGGUGAAAUGCGCAGAUAUCAGGAAGAACACCCGUGGCGAAGGCGGCUUUCGGGGACGGUACUGACGCUGAGACGCGAAAGCGUGGGGAGCGAACAGG
RNAcentral lists this ribosomal RNA (253 nucleotides) under uncultured bacterium. RNAcentral describes it as "partial 16S ribosomal RNA". It matches the Rfam family "Bacterial small subunit ribosomal RNA", at positions 524 to 776 of the family's 1533-position model. The record is from RNAcentral.